RNAcentral lists this ribosomal RNA (253 nucleotides) under uncultured bacterium. RNAcentral describes it as "partial 16S ribosomal RNA". It matches the Rfam family "Bacterial small subunit ribosomal RNA", at positions 524 to 776 of the family's 1533-position model. The record is from RNAcentral.
UACAGGGGAUGCAAGUGUUAUUCGGAAUUAUUGGGCGUAAAGCGUCUGUAGGUGGAUAUUUAAGUCUUUUGUCAAAUCUUUGGGCUUAACCUAAAAAAGGCAAAAGAAACUGUUUAUCUAGAGUUUGGUAGGGGUGAAGGGAAUUUCCAGUGGAGCGGUGAAAUGCGUAGAUAUUGGAAGGAACACCGAAAGCGAAGGCACUUUACUGGGCCAUAACUGACACUGAGAGACGAAAGCUAGGGGAGCAAAUCGG